GACGAACGCUGGCGGCGCGCUUAACACAUGCAAGUCGAACGGAAAGGCCUGCUUUCCCUUGUGGAUUGCGGGUACUCGAGUGGCGAACGGGUGAGUAACACGUGAGUGAUCUGCCCCCAACUUGGGUAUAAGCCUGGGAAACUGGGUCUAAUUCCCGAUAGGACUGCAGGGUGGUGCCUGUGGUGGAAAACGAUUUUCUAGUGGUUGGGGAUGAGCUCGCGGCCUAUCAGCUUGUUGGUGGGGUAAUGGCCUACCAAGGCGGCGACGGGUAGCCGGCCUGAGAGGGGGGACGGCCACAUUGGGACUGAGAUACGGCCCAGACUCCUACGGGAGGCAGCAGUGGGGAAUAUUGCACAAUGGGCGGAAGCCUGAUGCAGCGACGCCGCGUGGGGGAUGACGGCCUUCGGGUUGUAAACUCCUUUCGACCGCGAGGAAGCCACCUGGUUGGAAGGGUGGUGACGGUAGUGGUAGAAGAAGCACCGGCUAACUACGU
Molecule: ribosomal RNA, 493 nt
Filed under: uncultured bacterium
Lineage: Bacteria
Description: partial 16S ribosomal RNA
Rfam family: Bacterial small subunit ribosomal RNA
Source: RNAcentral